CUCUUCAAACCCUAACAUCUUAUCUCUACAUUACCAUUUCCUCAAUCCUUCCUUUUCCCUCUCUCUCCCUCUCCUUCUCAACCCAAACACAAACCCUCCUCUCCUAACAUCCUCACUGUCCGCAUGUCCUGGGAUGGCGCUCUCUCCUCCGUCCGAUUGAUAGUCGAAGGAAAAAAUCUCGAGGUAAAUUCUCUCUUUCUUCAGAAAACUCAGGUAAAAAUCUCACCUGAAAUUCAUUGCCAUUUUCUCGAUAAUUACAGCUCACGAAAGCAGUGAAACACCAGAUUUACUGUUCUUUGAUUGUGUCUUCAAUCGGACCGAUUUCCACCACGAUUUUUCCGAUCCACAUGAAUAUUUUUUCCAUUGAUCAUGACCUUUUAUCUGCCAUAUUCUCCAUCUAACUACAAAUUGCUGAAUCCCGUUCAUGAAAACGGUGGACGUGUUUGGUUCGUAGAUGGCCCUGCUGAUGUGGCAUGAUUUCUUGGAGCAAAUGUGGCAUCUUGCAAGAAUCCAUCCUCUAGCAGAAUAUCUCCCAGACGAGCGAUCAGGGAAGCCUUCGAACCUUCCUACAUUGGAUGUACAAUGAGGCAAUCUCAUAUUAUAAGAAGGCACUUACCCUUUCGACUAGAAGUUUGAGCACCUAUGCAGGUCUGGCGUACACUCAUCAUUUGCAGGUAAUAAUACUCUUUAAGCCUUGGUUUGAUAUCUACUAAUUUCACAUGCGCAAUUGAGGUUACAAAAGAAGCUUAAUUGGUUUGAUAUUAUCCUUCAAGGUUAGGUUGCAAGACUGCCAAUUCCUUUUGGACUUCCAAGUAAUCAAGACACAAGAACAGAACACAGUUCUGUUAGGGUUUCUGAUACUGAAUAUUUCUUGCUCAUUCUGCUUAUGGAAUACUAAUCUCAUCUUGUCUGUCUCAUGAACAAACCUCAUCAAAAUUUGAACCCACGAUGUUGCUUCACAAAAGCAGCUAUCAGCAUCUGCUGUAGAUUUUCCUCAGAUUAAUGAGAGUUACACUGGCAGGUAUGUCUUUA
Magnolia sinica is the source of this 1032-nucleotide long non-coding RNA. RefSeq lists it as uncharacterized. Lineage: Eukaryota; Viridiplantae; Streptophyta; Magnoliopsida; Magnoliales; Magnoliaceae. The record is from RefSeq and is a predicted model, not a curated record. The transcript has 2 exons.